UUUAUUACUAGGUUGUUUUCAUUAGUCAUGUCUAUAUAAUAAAAGAAUUUACUUUGUUUUUGGUAUUGUUAAAGAAAUAAAAAUUUAGUAUUCUAAAGAAAGUUAAAAUUUUGGAGUAAAAAUGAUUGAUGUAUGUACUUUUUGUAGAAUGGCUUAUAGAGAUAUUAUAUUGAUAUAUGUUCUUGAAAAUUUAAGAGCUAUUGUUUUUUUGUUUUUGUUGCAUAAAAGUCAUUAAAAUUAACGAUAGAGGUGACAUGUUUGUCGAAUAAGUUGAUAGCUAGUUUGAGGAGAAACAUAUUUACGUAUGGGGUAGAGUUUUUAUUUGUGUUUAUAACAGACUUAAUAAGGUUUAUACUCAGACUUUUAGGGCCUAGCUUAGAAGUAUUUUAAUAUUUUGUUUAGGAAAGAGUAGAGUUUAUAUUGCUUAUCUUUUAAACUUUUUUAUAAAGUGAACUAUAAUGAAGUUGAUUUUUUAGUAUCUUCAUAAGUAUAAUAAUUUUUUGUAUUGAGAUUAGUAUAAGAUUAGUAACUAAAUGAUACUGAAUUAAGAGGUAAAAUAUUUUUGAUUUGUUUUUAAAGUGAUGAUGGGAUGUGUUGGUGGAUUAAUACACAUAAAAAGUGUUAUUUGUUAUAGUUUCGGUUAAUAUUUAUUAGUUUGGAAUUAUUAAAAAUUGUAUUGAAAGAACUCGGCAAAUUUUCUUUGUGCCUGUUUAUCAAAAACAUGGCCUUUUGUUUUACACAUAUAAAAGGUUUGACCUGCCCGGUGACUGUAGUAGUUUAACGGCCGCUUUAUUUGUGCUAAGGUAGCACGGUGAGUAGCCCUUUAAUUGAGGGAUUGUAUGAAUGGUUGGACACGGAGAGACUGUUUCCAAUAUAAUAAGUAGAAGUUUCUUUUCAAGUGAAAAAGCUUGAGUUUUUGUAAAAGACGAGAAGACCCUGUCGAACUUAAUUAAAACCUAGUAUAUUUAAUUUUUUACCUUAUUUGUUUUGUUUUGUUAAAUUAGUUUUGUUGUUAUGACUCAUGUCUUAGUUAAGAAGUGUUAUUGCAAUAAAGAUUUUAUUAAUUUUUGAAAUUGGGUGUGGAAAAUUUAUUUUAGUUUUGAAUUUUUGUUGGGGCAACAGAAGUCUAUUAAACGAUAUCUUGUUGGAUAAAGACCCUGUAUGAUGGUUUAAAAGCAAAAGUUACCGCAGGGAUAACAGCGUAAUUUUUUUUUGUAAUUGUAUCGAUAAAAGAGUUUACGACCUCGAUGUUGAAUUAAGAAACCUUUAUGGCGCAGGAGCUAUAGGAGGAAAACUGUUCGUUUUUUAAUUUCUUACAUGAUUUGAGUUAAGAUCGGCGUGAGCUAGAUUGGUUUCUAUCCUUAUUUACUAUUUCUAUUGUACGAAAGGAUCCAGAAGUAGUGUUUAACACUGUAGUGAAACUAUAGAAAUGAGUAUUUUAGUU
Molecule: ribosomal RNA, 1444 nt
Filed under: Meretrix lusoria
Lineage: Eukaryota; Metazoa; Mollusca; Bivalvia; Venerida; Veneridae
Description: 16S ribosomal RNA
Rfam family: Archaeal large subunit ribosomal RNA (bases 1193-1350)
Source: RNAcentral